ACGCUCGACACCUACGGGAGGCAGCAGGUGGGGAAUAUUGCACAAUGGAGGAAACUCUGAUGCAGCGAUGCCGCGUGAGGGAAGAAGGUUUUCGGAUUGUAAACCUCUGUCUUUGGGGACGAUAAUGACGGUACCCAAGGAGGAAGCUCCGGCUAACUACGCGCCAGCAGCUGGCGGUAAUCUGAGGCGGGCUGGCAAGGC
This 201-nucleotide ribosomal RNA is filed under the name uncultured bacterium. RNAcentral's name for it is "partial 16S ribosomal RNA". It matches the Rfam family "Bacterial small subunit ribosomal RNA", at positions 328 to 539 of the family's 1533-position model. The record is from RNAcentral.